This 253-nucleotide ribosomal RNA is filed under the name uncultured bacterium. RNAcentral's name for it is "partial 16S ribosomal RNA". It matches the Rfam family "Bacterial small subunit ribosomal RNA", at positions 524 to 776 of the family's 1533-position model. The record is from RNAcentral.
UACGUAGGGCGCAAGCGUUGUCCGGAAUUAUUGGGCGUAAAGAGCUCGUAGGCGGCUUGUCGCGUCGUCUGUGAAAACCCGCGGCUCAACGGCGGGCUUGCAGUCGAUACGGGCAGGCUGGAGUUCGGUAGGGGAGACUGGAAUUCCUGGUGUAGCGGUGAAAUGCGCAGAUAUCAGGAGGAACACCGGUGGCGAAGGCGGGUCUCUGGGCAUUACCUGACGCUGAGGAGCGAAAGUGUGGGGAGCGAACAGG